GGUUGCUGAUGAGGAGCAGAAGAAAAUAAAGAAGGAUUCGCUAAAGAAGAAAAGCACUAGUACUACAAAGGAUGCUGUAACCAAGGUUCCAAGCAAGAAAAAGAAUAAUGGUUCAGAUGAGGAUCAUUCUCCAACUCGCAGUCAUGCCGGUGAUAAUGACCAAGCAGAUGAUGACGAUGAUGACGAUGAAGAGUCUGAGAAAUCCUAAUCUGAAGUGAGUGACAAUGAGAAUAGUGCAGAGGUAAUUAUAAUCCUUUGGAACAUAUGUUGGUGUUUUCCUUUGGUUAUAUCGAAAAUUCUUAAAAAGGACGCAGGCUGUCAGGAUUUCGAUCUCUGGUUUCGUGCAUUACGAGGCAUUAGCAUUUCAAUAUAUGAUUCCCUUAGAUUUAUCCCCAAACUCUUGCCUUAUUUUCUGCUACCUUUUCAUAUUCCAUAUAUCAUUUCUACUUCUUCUCUGUUCUAGAAAGUAUGAAUCUAUCACUUAGUCUAUUUUAAUUUAAUGACGAGAAACAUAUUACUCGUUAUCAAAUAUUAAAUUUCAGAAUAAGUAAAUGGGAGAUUUUCUUCCACUCUAUAUUUUAACAGCAAUGAGAUGUGUAAAAUUUAGAAUAAUACAAAAAAGAAAGAAAAAAUAAUUUAUAUAUAAAGUUCAAUUGGAUAGUUUAUAUUACAUAGAUAAUUUUAAAUAAUUACAGUCUCAUUGGAUG
Molecule: unclassified non-coding RNA, 707 nt
Filed under: Hevea brasiliensis (rubber tree)
Lineage: Eukaryota; Viridiplantae; Streptophyta; Magnoliopsida; Malpighiales; Euphorbiaceae
Source: RNAcentral